Molecule: ribosomal RNA, 427 nt
Filed under: uncultured bacterium
Lineage: Bacteria
Description: partial 16S ribosomal RNA
Rfam family: Bacterial small subunit ribosomal RNA
Source: RNAcentral
UGGGGAAUAUUGCACAAUGGGCGCAAGCCUGAUGCAGCCAUGCCGCGUGUAUGAAGAAGGCCUUCGGGUUGUAAAGUACUUUCAGCGGGGAGGAAGGCGAUAAGGUUAAUAACCUUGUCGAUUGACGUUACCCGCAGAAGAAGCACCGGCUAACUCCGUGCCAGCAGCCGCGGUAAUACGGAGGGGGCAAGCGUUAAUCGGAAUUACUGGGCGUAAAGCGCACGCAGGCGGUCUGUCAAGUCGGAUGUGAAAUCCCCGGGCUCAACCUGGGAACUGCAUUCGAAACUGGCAGGCUAGAGUCUUGUAGAGGGGGGUAGAAUUCCAGGUGUAGCGGUGAAAUGCGUAGAGAUCUGGAGGAAUACCGGUGGCGAAGGCGGCCCCCUGGACAAAGACUGACGCUCAGGUGCGAAAGCGUGGGGAGCAAACA